This 373-nucleotide ribosomal RNA is filed under the name uncultured organism. RNAcentral's name for it is "partial 16S ribosomal RNA". It matches the Rfam family "Bacterial small subunit ribosomal RNA", at positions 527 to 896 of the family's 1533-position model. The record is from RNAcentral.
GUAGGUGGCAAGCGUUGUCCGGAAUUAUUGGGCGUAAAGCGCGCGCAGGCGGUUCUUUAAGUCUGAUGUGAAAGCCCACGGGCUCAACCGUGGAGGGUCAUUGGAAACUGGAGAACUUGAGUACAGAAGAGGAAAGCGGUAUUCCACGUGUAGCGGUGAAAUGCGUAGAGAUGUGGAGGAACACCAGUGGCGAAGGCGGCUUUCUGGUCCGUAACUGACGCUGAGGCGCGAAAGCGUGGGGAGCAAACAGGAUUAGAUACCCUGGUAGUCCACGCCGUAAACGAUGAGUGCUAAGUGUUAGGGGGUUUCCGCCCCUUAGUGCUGCAGCUAACGCAUUAAGCACUCCGCCUGGGGAGUACGGCCGCAAAGGCUG